RNAcentral lists this transfer RNA (75 nucleotides) under soil metagenome. It matches the Rfam family "tRNA". Rfam says of the family: Transfer RNA (tRNA) molecules are approximately 80 nucleotides in length. Their secondary structure includes four short double-helical elements and three loops (D, anti-codon, and T loops). Further hydrogen bonds mediate the characteristic L-shaped molecular structure. tRNAs have two regions of fundamental functional importance: the anti-codon, which is responsible for specific mRNA codon recognition, and the 3' end, to which the tRNAs corresponding amino acid is attached (by aminoacyl-tRNA synthetases). tRNAs cope with the degeneracy of the genetic code in two manners: having more than one tRNA (with a specific anti-codon) for a particular amino acid; and 'wobble' base-pairing, i.e. permitting non-standard base-pairing at the 3rd anti-codon position. The record is from RNAcentral.
GCCGUCGUAGCUUAGUGGUAAAGCACGCCCUUGGUAAGGGCGAGAGCGCGGGUUCAAUCCCCGCCGACGGCUCCA